CCGCUGUCCUAAUACACUCAAGUCCGACGUAUCCGGUCGUGAAUGCUGCUUCUCCUGAUGGUACGGCGUGACCGGUGUGAUUAACACCGUGGAUUUACCUUACCCGUAUUAAGCUGGGAUAACUUCGGAAACCGGAGCUAAUACCGGAUGAUAUUGUGAACCGCAUGGUUCAAAGGUGAAAGACCGGUCUUGCGUCACUUAUAGAUGGAUUCCGCGCUUGCAUUAGCUAGNUUGGUAAGGUAACGGCUUACCAAGGCAACGAGCAUGAGCCGACCUGAUGGGUGAUCGGCCACACUGGAACUGAGACACGGUCCAGACUCCUACGGGAGGCAGCAGUAGGGAAUCUUCCGCAAUGGGCGAAAGCCUGACGGAGCAGCGCCGCGUGAGUGAUGAAGGUCUUCGGAUCGUAAAACUCUGUUAUUAGGGAAGAACAUAUGUGUAAGUAACUGUGCACAUCUUGACGGUACCUAAUCAGAAAGCCACGGCUAACUACGUGCCAGCAGCCGCGGUAAUACGUAGGUGGCAAGCGUUAUCCGGAAUUAUUGGGCGUAAAGCGCGCGUAGGCGGUUUUUUAAGUCUGAUGUGAAAGCCCACGGCUCAACCGCGGAGGGUCAUUGGAAACUGGAAAACUUGAGUGCAGAAGAGGAAAGUGGAAUUCCAUGUGUAGCGGUGAAAUGCGCAGAGAUAUGGAGGAACACCAGUGGCGAAGGCGACUUUCUGGUCUGUAACUGACGCUGAUGUGUGAAAGCGUGGGGAUCAAACAGGAUUAGAUACCCUGGUAGUCCACGCCGUAAACGAUGAGUGCUAAGUGUUAGGGGGUUUCCGCCCCUUAGUGCUGCAGCUAACGCAUUAAGCACUCCGCCUGGGGAGUACGACCGCAAGGUUG
This 886-nucleotide ribosomal RNA is filed under the name uncultured Staphylococcus sp. RNAcentral describes it as "bacterial SSU rRNA". It matches the Rfam family "Bacterial small subunit ribosomal RNA", at positions 40 to 896 of the family's 1533-position model. The record is from RNAcentral. Lineage: Bacteria; Bacillati; Bacillota; Bacilli; Caryophanales; Staphylococcaceae.